Molecule: long non-coding RNA, 1172 nt
Organism: Acinonyx jubatus (cheetah)
Lineage: Eukaryota; Metazoa; Chordata; Mammalia; Carnivora; Felidae
Exons: 5
Source: RefSeq, a predicted model, not a curated record
UAAAAUGAUAUCAUGAACAACUUCAUACCAGUAAAUUUAAUUAGGUAUAAUGAACAAAUUCCUAGAGAAACAAAAUUUGCCAUACCUGACACAAGAAGAUGCAGAAAAUCUAAAUAGCCCCCUAUUUUUUAAAAAAAAUUAUAAUGAAAAAUUUUUCCACAAAGAAAAUUUUACAGUCAGUUGGAUUUUUGGGUUAGUUUAGUGAAACAUGUGGGGAAUACCAAUGUUACACAGAGCUCUUGAAGAAGAUAAAGUAGGAAGAAACCCUUCCUAACCCAGUUUAUGAUGUCAGCAUAACUGUGAUAUCAGAGUCCAAUAAGAAUAUUACAAGAAACAAAAAUUAGCAAGUUGAAUCCAGUAAUAUCUGAAAGGACAAUGCAUAGUAACCAACUGGAGUUGAUUCCAGAAAUCACACAGAGGACACACGGAGGGAAGAACCAUGAAGAGAGUCCUCACCCGAAAUCAACUCUGAUACCACCUUGAUCAUGGAGCUCCAGCCUCCAGAACUAUAAUGAAAUGAAUUUCUGUUCUUUAAUUCUCUCAGAAAUAACUAUAUACUUCCAGGAGAGGAGAUGGCGUCUCUACACCUUUCUAUUCUAAAUUUGAUGACUUCAGCACCAUCACAUAAUCAGCCUUCAUCUUUUCCCAUGGACAGUGGACAUGCACUGAACUUGACAUUACACGAAGCUGAAGAAUUUUGCUCCUCGCUGUCUAGGCAAUGGGGGCGCCAGCGUGGCUCAGUUGGUUGGGCAUCCGACUUCAGCUCAGGUGAUGAUCUCACUGUUCAUAAGUUCGAGCCCCGCGAACUCUCUGUGCUGACAGCUUGGAGCCUGGAGCCUGCUUCAGAUUAUGUGUCUCCCUCUCUCUCUGCCCCUCCCCACUCACACUCUGUCUCUCUGUGUCUUAAAAAUAAAUAAAUGUUAAAUAAAUAAAUAAAUAAAUAAAUAAAUAAAACAGUUCUUUCCUAAAGACUGUAUCUCUCAAAUGUUAAGGACUCUUUCCCAACCUGUACCUCAUCCAUAAAUUCGUUAAAUGAUACCAUACAUAAUAAUAUGAUAGUAACUGACAUUUGUUAAUGCUUACUAUGUUUCAGAGGUUGUUUAAAUCUCUUAAUCAACUCAUCAAUUGUUUAACUCAAUUAAUCCUCAGGGUAACCCUACAAGAGAGGUGCA